RNAcentral lists this ribosomal RNA (253 nucleotides) under uncultured bacterium. Its description in RNAcentral is "partial 16S ribosomal RNA". It matches the Rfam family "Bacterial small subunit ribosomal RNA", at positions 524 to 776 of the family's 1533-position model. The record is from RNAcentral.
UACGUAGGCAGCGAGCGUUGUUCGGAAUUACUGGGCGUAAAGAGUGUGUAGGCGGUGCUCUAAGUUCGGUGUGAAAUCUCCUGGCUCAACUGGGAGGGUGCGCCGGAAACUGGAGUGCUUGAGCGUGGGAGAGGAAAGCGGAAUUCCUGGUGUAGCGGUGAAAUGCGUAGAUAUCGGGAGGAACACCUGUGGCGAAAGCGGCGCACUGGACCACAACUGACGCUGAGGCGCGAAAGCUAAGGGAGCAAACAGG